RNAcentral lists this ribosomal RNA (1245 nucleotides) under metagenome. Its description in RNAcentral is "bacterial LSU rRNA". It matches the Rfam family "Bacterial large subunit ribosomal RNA", at positions 1564 to 2818 of the family's 2925-position model. The record is from RNAcentral.
UGAGUACGAGAUGCUACGGCAUCGAAGCAGUCUAUGUCAUACUUCCAAGAAAAGCUUGCACUGUCAGAAACAGAUAAUGCCUGUACCAUAACCGACACAGGUGGGUAGGUAGAGUAUACUAAGGGGCGCGAGAUAACUCUCUCUAAGGAACUCGGCAAAAUGACUCCGUAACUUCGGGAGAAGGAGUGCCUUAUUUUUAAGGUUGCAAUAACAAGAUCCAAGCAACUGUUUACCAAAAACACAGGUCUCCGCUAAGUCGUAAGACGAUGUAUGGGGGCUGACGCCUGCCCAGUGCCAGAAGGUUAAAGAAGUCGGUUAGCAUUCGCGAAGCUGGUAACUGAAGCCCUGGUGAACGGCGGCCGUAACAAUAACGGUCCUAAGGUAGCGAAAUUCCUUGUCGGGUAAGUUCCGACCCGCACGAAAGGCGUAAUGAUUUGGAUACUGUCUCGGAGAGGGGCUCGGUGAAAUAGACUUGUCUGUGAAGAUGCGGACUACCUGCACCUGGACAGAAAGACCCUAUGAAGCUUUACUGUAACUUGAAAUUGAAAUUGGACUUUAUUUGCGCAGUAUAGGUGGGAGGCGUUGAAAAUAUUCUUGCGGGAAUAUUGGAGCCAUCAGUGAGAUACCACUCUUGUAAUGUUAGAUUUCUAACUUUAUAUCAUUAUCUGGUUAAAGAACAGUUUCAGGCGGGCAGUUUGACUGGGGCGGUCGCCUCCCAAAUGGUAACGGAGGCGCACAAAGGUUUCCUCUGAACGGGUAGAAAUCGUAUCUAGAGUGUAAAGGCAUAAGGAAGCUUGACUGUGAGACCUACAAGUCGAGCAGGGACGAAAGUCGGUCUUAGUGAUCUGACGGUGCUGAGUGGAAAGGCCGUCACUCAACGGAUAAAAGUUACUCUAAGGAUAACAGGCUGAUCUCCCCCAAGAGUUCACAUCGACGGGGAGGUUUGGCACCUCGAUGUCGGCUCAUCGCAUCCUGGGGCGGUAGUACGUCCCAAGGGUUGGGCUGUUCGUCCAUGAAAGCGGUACGCGAGCUGGGUUCAGAACGUCGUGAGACAGUUCGGUCCAUAUCCGGUGUAGGCGUUAGAAUAUUGAGAGGAGCCUUCUUUAGUACGAGAGGACCGAGAAGGACAUACCUCUGGUGUACCAGUUAUCGUGCCAACGGUAAACGCUGGGUAGCUAUGUAUGGAGUGGAUAACCGCUGAAAGCAUCUAAGUGGGAAGCCCACCUCAAGAUAAGUAUUCUCAGC